Molecule: unclassified non-coding RNA, 291 nt
Organism: Fukomys damarensis (Damara mole-rat)
Lineage: Eukaryota; Metazoa; Chordata; Mammalia; Rodentia; Bathyergidae
Gene: 7SK
Rfam family: 7SK RNA
About the family: 7SK was discovered as an abundant small nuclear RNA in the mid-70s but a possible function has only recently been suggested. Two independent studies have found that 7SK RNA binds the CDK9/cyclin T complex (known as elongation factor P-TEFb).
Source: Ensembl
GGAUGUGAGAGCAAUCUGGCUGUGACAUCUGUUACCCCAUUGAUCUCCAGGGUUGAUUUGGCUGAUCUGGCUAGCUAGGCAGGUGUCCCCUUCUUCCCUCACCGCUCCAUGUGCAUCUCUCCUGAAGCUGUGCGCUCAGUUGAAGAGGAGACUGUCCCUGAUAGAGGAGGGCCAUUUCCUCGGUCAAGGGUAUACCAGUAUCUGCACUCUCCUGCUAGAACAUCCAAACAAGUUCUCAAGCCUUAAUGAAAAAAACAGUAGCUAGCUGGGGGUAACAGCCACAUGGGUUAU